CCUACGCGAGGCAGCAGUGGGGAAUAUUGCACAAUGGGGGAAACCCUGAUGCAGCGACGCCGCGUGAGUGAAGAAGUAAUUCGUUAUGUAAAGCUCUAUCAGCAGGGCAGAAAGUGACGGUACCUGAGUAAGAAGCCCCGGCUAACUACGUGCAAGCAGCCGCGGUCAUACGUCGGGGGCAAGCGUUCUGCGGAGUUACUGGGUGUAAAGGGAGCGUAGACGGCAUGGCAAGUCUGGAGUGAAAGGCGGGGGCUCAACCCCCGGACGGCUCUGGAAACUGGACGGCUGGAGUGCAGGAGAGGUAAGUGGAAGUCCUGGUGUAGCGGUGAAAUGCGUAGAUAUUAGGAGGAACACCAGUGGCGAAGGCGGCUUACUGGACUGUAACUGACGUUGAGGCUCGAAAGCGUGGGGAGCAAACAGGAUUAGAUACCCCAGUAGUC
RNAcentral lists this ribosomal RNA (440 nucleotides) under uncultured bacterium. RNAcentral describes it as "partial 16S ribosomal RNA". It matches the Rfam family "Bacterial small subunit ribosomal RNA", at positions 338 to 795 of the family's 1533-position model. The record is from RNAcentral.